RNAcentral lists this transfer RNA (63 nucleotides) under Tuxedo bicinctus. RNAcentral's name for it is "tRNA-Asp". Lineage: Eukaryota; Metazoa; Arthropoda; Insecta; Hemiptera; Miridae. The record is from RNAcentral.
AAAAGUUAGUUUAAAUAAAACAUUAAUUUGUCAGAUUAAAAAUAUUGCUAGCAAUACUUUUUA